GUCUAGCUGGCUCAGUUGGUAGAGCAUUGACUCUCGAUCUUAAGGUUGUGAGUUCAAGCCCCACAUUGGGCG
This 72-nucleotide transfer RNA is filed under the name Felis catus (domestic cat). It matches the Rfam family "tRNA". Rfam says of the family: Transfer RNA (tRNA) molecules are approximately 80 nucleotides in length. Lineage: Eukaryota; Metazoa; Chordata; Mammalia; Carnivora; Felidae. The record is from Rfam by way of RNAcentral.